CACUCCAAAGCUCACACAAGCUUAUAUGGAAAUGCUUCAAUUUCUUUGCAGGCUAAUAAAUUCACAGAACAUAUUGCUACUUCAAAUGCCAAACAGUUCAAGAGGGGGAAAAUUAUGCUUUCCGGGCUUCAAAAUCUCCAAAACAGAACCAUAGGCAAGAGAUAAGAUUUGCUGUCAUGUAACUGUAAAGCAGUGAACUGUAG
Molecule: unclassified non-coding RNA, 203 nt
Filed under: Hevea brasiliensis (rubber tree)
Lineage: Eukaryota; Viridiplantae; Streptophyta; Magnoliopsida; Malpighiales; Euphorbiaceae
Source: RNAcentral